ACGGCUCAGUAACACGUGGAUAACCUACCCUUGAGACGGGGAUAAACCCGGGAAACUGGGUAUAAUACCCGAUAGAUCUCGACUGCUGGAAUGCAUCGAGCUUGAAAGCUCCGGCGCUCAAGGAUAGGUCUGCGGCCUAUCAGGUAGUAGUGGGUGUAGCGUACCUACUAGCCUACGACGGGUACGGGUUGUGAGAGCAAGAGCCCGGAGAUGGAUUCUGAGACACGAAUCCGGGCCCUACGGGGUGCAGCAGGCGCGAAAACUUUACAAUGCUGGAAACAGCGAUAAGGGGACCUCGAGUGCCAGGUUACAAAUCUGGCUGUCGUGAUGCCUAAAAAGCAUUGCAUAGCAAGGGCCGGGCAAGACCGGUGCCAGCCGCCGCGGUAACACCGGCGGCUCGAGUGGUAACCGUUAUUAUUGGGUCUAAAGGGUCUGUAGCCGGCCGGAUAAGUCUCUUGGGAAAUCUGGCAGCUUAACUGUCAGGCUUUCAGGAGAUACUGUCUGGCUCGAGGCCGGGAGAGGUGAGAGGUACUUCAGGGGUAGGGGUGAAAUCUUGUAAUCCUUGAAGGACCACCAGUGGCGAAGGCGUCUCACCAGAACGGACCUGACGGCAAGGGACGAAAGCUAGGGGCACGAACCGGAUUAGAUACCCGGGUAGUCCUAGCCGUAAACGAUACUCGCUAGGUGUCGGCAACGGUGCGACCGUUGUCGGUGCCGUAGGGAAGCCGUGAAGCGAGCCACCUGGGAAGUACGGCCGCAAGGCUGAAACCUAAAGGAAUUGGCGGGGGGCAC
This 792-nucleotide ribosomal RNA is filed under the name uncultured archaeon. RNAcentral describes it as "bacterial SSU rRNA". It matches the Rfam family "Archaeal small subunit ribosomal RNA", at positions 85 to 879 of the family's 1478-position model. The record is from RNAcentral.